ACCCCUUUAGAGGAUGACUGAUUUCUUUUGGUGUUCAGAGUCAAUACUAUUUUCUAGCACCAUUUGAAAUCGGUUAUAGUGACUGGGGAAUUGCAU
Chelonoidis abingdonii (Abingdon island giant tortoise) is the source of this 96-nucleotide microRNA precursor. Lineage: Eukaryota; Metazoa; Chordata; Testudines; Testudinidae. The record is from Ensembl.